ACCCCUCUCUAAGCCUCAUUUAAGUGCUGGCUGCCACGGGGGAAGGCUCUGUACCUUUUGGAGUGUUCUGUGAGUCCCGCUCCUUGGGACAGGUAUAGUCUGUGUGACUGGUCUGAGAUGGGCAAAUCAAGCUAUCCAUAGUACUGCUGGUCUGGAGGAGAAUUCAGAGCCGCUGCUGGGGUCACUGGAGGGAUGCCCAGAGUAAAAGACCUCCGAAUCUGCUCUCAACCAAGGGGAAGUGAAUUGGUCUCCUUGUUCCUGUGGCAGCCAUGGACCCCUAUGAUUGGGUGGUCCUCUAGAGGCACUGACACUGAGCCUGAAGGGAAGCUCCCAUCUCUGAUCCAUGAGUGCCUCCAGCCUGGCAGGACCUGGCUCUUCUGCUUCAGCCUGUGGAGUGAAUACAUAUGAACAAAUAUCUGAACCACUCUGUGAGGAUGAUGGACUACAAACUGGCUUGCACCAGUGAUGGAGCAGCUGGUGGGAAGGCAGGGCCAACCCAGAGGAGCUCAGGUGUAAGCAAUGCAUCUGAGUGACUGGAAGGGCUGGAGCCAGGAUCCACCCUUUCCCAGCCCUCAUUUAAGGGUUGGCAGUGGAGGCAAGUGUAUCUCACUGGUGAUUCCUGCAUACCUAAGGCUUUCUGAAGCACAGAAACACAACCAGAGUCCAGUUCCUCAGACUUACAGAAUCACAGCUGAGGAAGUUUCCAGGUGUGUUCUCCAUAUCAUUCCUAGUACUACUCUUCUCACCUAAGGCAGAGCUAUGAUCAUAUAACAGAUCUCUCUGAAACCUUUGCUGGUGCUUCAGGAGAUGAGCACUCUGCUGUGUUCCACUGAAAUAGCUCAACCACAGUGUAUUUAAGUGAGCUGACACAUCCUGAAGCAGAGCAAGUUGCCCUCGUGCUGCUGAAGUCAGUGAAGCUUCAACAGUUUGUACCAGCUGUGAAGUGCAGGAUAUUGAGAACAUUUGUUCCAGCUCUGCCUCUGGUCUGGGAUUUCACUCAGCCCAGCUGGGUUAGAAGAGGAGGGGACCUCAGCAGUGCUUGUGUGGGGUCAAAUCUUCCUGCAACUACAGAGAGAAUUCCCACCAAAAACGGGUGCCUCCAUCAGCCCCUCUGUUUGGUUCUUGGGAACCUGCCUGUGUUCCUUUCCCUGCAGCACAGAGCGCAGCAUCUUCAGCAUUAUCUGGGGGAACUGCAGCUACUGAAGAAGCAGCGUGCAGUUCUUGCUCAGCUGUGGGGAGCUGGUACAGCCCAGCACUGCCAGCAGUGUGUGGAGCUGCAAGAUCUGUUCCUCCUGGCUUAUCCAGAUCCCUCCACACCAGAGGAAGGACUUGGAGUCUCUGCAUCCUCACUAAACUCAGCUCUCCAUACAGGAGCAGACUUCAAUCCAGAAAUUCAAGCAGGGGUCUCUUUGUUCCCUAUACCUUCAUUUCCUUAUGCUGACUAGGUAGAGCAGCUGUGAAAAUAUUCAGUAUAUUUUUGGCUGUGACAAAUAGCUGCGUUUCACACCUUGUCACAAGCUCACACCUCUUUUCUAUUAGAACUAAAGGGUGUGCAAAAGCAGUAAUGACAUUUAGUAAAUACAAAUGAUUUUAAGGCUCACCAACCUUCCAGAUUUCUGAGCUGAGCUUCUAGCGGCACACAGAAGCCAUGAGGAGCAGAAACCAAAACCAGCUCUGCUGAGAUGUCAGCCUUUCUUUGCAAGAAGGAGAAAAAGAUCAAACUCCACCAUUCAGUGCUGUGGAUGGUCAGACGCUCCGCUUUCUGCUUCCUGCAAUUCUCUUUGGUGCUAAAAAUCCAUUCUGACAUUUUCCAUUAAAGGUUUCUCAGAACUCUCAGUCCAGAAUGAAAUUGGCCUUGUAUCCUUCAGCUGGAUUCCAGCCUAAUCAUUUCAAUUAAAUACUGUGUUCCUUCAGUUCCUUAUGUAGGGAAAUGAGUUGCUCGGGGUACACGGUCCCCUGGUUGACAUUUCUUAUAUUCAAGGAGAAGCAAAUCAAAAGCAGCCCAGGAAUUCCCUAUCAUAGCUUUUAAUUAGCUAACUAAAGUUAACUAGAAAAAAUAACCUAGAAUGCAUACUGAGGCCUUGAAAAGUGCUAAGAGCUUUGUUUCAACACACUAUAAAGCUUUCAUCAUUAGGUACCAAAAGCCACUAAUUCAUGAAGAUCCAUGCCUGACAAAACUGUUAAACAAGGGGUGAUUUACUGAGAAGAGAGCUCAGCAAACCACUUCAACUUUAAAAUACUGUCCUUUCGUCCGCUGUUCAACUGUGCAAUCUUUAUAUUUAAAGGGAAAUCCAUAUCAUUGAUUAAACACAAUAAAAGCUAUUCCAUAGGACACCAUUACUAAAUCUAGCUGCUGGAAAAAUACUUUUUUGUAAAUCAAAGUGAUAAGAAUCAGUCUGAGUUUCUCAUAACGAGGCACAGCUACAACACACAGUAUAAGAAGCAGAGAAUUGCACGUUCUACCGAGGAAACAUACGACACUGCUUUGAAAAAGCCUCUCACAUCCCUGCUUGUUUCUCAUGCACGCAUCUCUCUAUAGCCAGCAGUUUGCUGGGGGCUUGUAUUUAAGUGCAACAUUUGAACAGCUCUUGCUCCUAUCCAGGAGAUGCAUACAGCAGUACUUACACGAGGGUCACAGCCACAGGCACAACCAAACUGCCAGCACAGUGCAGUUCUCGCAGGCACAGCCCUCGGGCUCUGUCCACCUUGUCCCACAGCACUUACACCCAGUACAUCUUAUCCUGGAAGGAAAUUGAGCAGUGCUGCUGCUGCUGAUGGAACUAAAGGGCUGUUUUUCAAUGUUAGCAGCACCGUUCCACCCAAGCACUGAAUUUCUCUUGUAAUGGUUUUAUCAGUCUCGCUCUCUCCGACUCACAGUUCUAAAUAGACAAGGGAUCUUUCUUUGAGUCUUUACUUUCACAGUACUGAAAAGAUUAUGGUAGUCGAGAAUUUAGCUGUUGGACCAUUUUGCUUUUCACAGUUCAGAAGACAUAAAUAAUGGCUACACCUCUCAAGUUAAUUUAAGUAAGCAAGAUUUGGUAUGCCACCAGUUUAAAUCUCACCCUAAAACUAAAUCAGUCUUCAUUCAGCUUUAAAAUGUGCUAAAUUGUUCAGACGUUCUAAAACUCUUCUUCCUUAAGGCUUCCGAGUGGAAUUCUACAUUUAUUUAAUAAAGCAGCCAGGAUUUACUGUACUGGUGGUGGUAAGCACUUUUUACUUUCCUCAAGAUGGAUUGGAGUUGACUGCAUACUUUUUUUUGCUACAGCUGCACAAGUUUACAAGUCACAAUUGAAUUACCAAACUGAGGAAAAUAAAGAUUAUUCCUGUGGGUGCAA
RNA transcript from Gallus gallus (chicken), 3335 nucleotides. RefSeq lists it as uncharacterized. NCBI's taxonomy places the organism in Eukaryota, Metazoa, Chordata, Aves, Galliformes, Phasianidae. The record is from RefSeq and is a predicted model, not a curated record. The transcript is spliced from 11 exons.